GCAAGGGUAGCCAAGCGGUUAGGCACUCGCCUGCAGAGCGAUGAACGUGGGUUCGAAUCCCACCCCUUGCU
RNAcentral lists this transfer RNA (71 nucleotides) under Nanobdellota archaeon. Its description in RNAcentral is "tRNA-Cys". It matches the Rfam family "tRNA". Rfam says of the family: Transfer RNA (tRNA) molecules are approximately 80 nucleotides in length. Their secondary structure includes four short double-helical elements and three loops (D, anti-codon, and T loops). The record is from RNAcentral. Lineage: Archaea; Nanobdellati; Nanobdellota. RNAcentral also lists the same sequence under 1 other name.